GGGAUGUCUUUCCAUUUUCUUGUAUCCUCUUCAGUCUCUUUUUUCAGAGUGCUGUAGUUUUCAGUGUAGAGGUCUUUUGCUUCCUUUGUUACAUUGAUUCCUAGAUAUUUCAUUUUUCUUGGAUGCUACUGUAAAAGGAAUUGUUUCCCUAAUUUCUCUCUUAGUGAGUCUGUUAUUUGUGUACAAAAAGGCUAUUGUUUUUUGAGUGUUGACCUUGUAUCCAGCUAUUCUACUGAAUCUGUCAAUUAAGUCUAGAAGUCUUCUGGUGGAAUCUUUUGGGUCUUCUAUGUAAAGUGUCAUAUCGUCAGCAAAUAAUGACAGUUUAACUUCUUUUCCUAUCUUUAUUCCUUUUAUUUCUUUCUCUUUUCUAAUUGCUAUGGCUAAUGUUUCCAGAACUGUAUGGAACAGGAGUGGUGAGAGUGGACAUCUUUGUCUUGUUCCUGAUUUUAUCAUGAAAGUUUUCAGUUUUUAACCAUUUAGUAUGAUGUUGGCUGUUGGUUUUUCAUAGAUAGGCUUAAUCAGGUUAAGAUAAAGACCUUCUGUUCCAAUUUUCUGUAGGGUUUUUAUCAUGAAUGGGUGCUGGAUUUUGUCAAAUGCUUUUUCUGCCUCUAUUGAGAUGAUCAUAUGGUUUAUUUCUCUUAAUGUGGUGUAUUACAUUUUUUGAUUUACGAAUGUUGAACCAUCCUUGCAUCCCUGGGAUAAAUCUGACUUGGUUAGGGUGUAUGAUCUUCUUGAUGACUCUCUGUAUUCUGUUUGCCAGUAUUUUGUUGAGGAUUUUUGCAUCUAUGUUCAUUAGGGAGAUUGGCCUAUAGUUCUCUUUUUGGGUUGGGUCUUUCCCUGGUUUUGGAAUCAAAGUAACACUUGCUUCCAGGAAUGAAUUUGGAAGCCUUGCUUCCCUUUCAGUUUCCUUGAUGAGUUUAAAGAGUAAUGGUGUUAGAUCUUCUUUAAAUGUCUUGUAAAUUUCAGCAGUGAAGCUAUCCGGACCUGGGCUUUCCUUUGUUGGGCAGAGGCAUUUAUUGCUAAGUGUACGCUGCUGGCAAAGCAGCCACCUCAGGUGUGCCAAGCAUCUACGCCCCCAGCACCUAAGCCUACCUCUCCCCUGCCAAGACCCCACCCCCACUGCCAAUCAUGAUUCCCAUGGGCCCCAUCUACAAUGGCUACCCUGGAGGGUACCCUGGAGACUUCGAUAGGAACAGCUCAGGUGAGGCCUGGGGAGAGCCUGGG
This 1224-nucleotide long non-coding RNA is filed under the name Heterocephalus glaber (naked mole-rat). Its description in RNAcentral is "lncRNA (ENSHGLG00100046243.1)". Lineage: Eukaryota; Metazoa; Chordata; Mammalia; Rodentia; Bathyergidae. The record is from RNAcentral.